Molecule: ribosomal RNA, 332 nt
Filed under: uncultured bacterium
Lineage: Bacteria
Description: bacterial SSU rRNA
Rfam family: Bacterial small subunit ribosomal RNA
Source: RNAcentral
UGCGUAGGCGGCCCGGAAAGUUGGGUGUGAAAGCCCUCGGCUCAACCGAGGAAUUGCGCCCAAAACUACCGGGCUCGAGGAAGACAGAGGUAAGCGGAACUUAGGGUGGAGCGGUGAAAUGCGUUGAUAUCCUAAGGAACACCAGGAGCGAAAGCGGCUUACUGGGUCUUUUCUGACGCUGAGGCACGAAAGCUAGGGGAGCGAACGGGAUUAGAUACCCCGGUAGUCCUAGCCGUAAACGAUGAGCACUGGGUUGGAGGGUCCCCCAUAACCUUCUAGCCGUAGCGAAAGUGUUAAGUGCUCCGCCUGGGGAGUAUGGUCGCAAGGCUGAA